GACGAACGCUGGCGGCGUGCCUAAUACAUGCAAGUAGAACGCUGAAGGAGGAGCUUGCUCUUCUGGAUGAGUUGCGAACGGGUGAGUAACGCGUAGGUAACCUGCCUGGUAGCGGGGGAUAACUAUUGGAAACGAUAGCUAAUACCGCAUAACAGUAGAUGUUGCAUGACAUUUACUUAAAAGGUGCAAUUGCAUCACUACCAGAUGGACCUGCGUUGUAUUAGCUAGUUGGUGGGGUAACGGCUCACCAAGGCGACGAUACAUAGCCGACCUGAGAGGGUGAUCGGCCACACUGGGACUGAGACACGGCCCAGACUCCUACGGGAGGCAGCAGUAGGGAAUCUUCGGCAAUGGACGGAAGCCUGACCGAGCAACGCCGCGUGAGUGAAGAAGGUUUUCGGAUCGUAAAGCUCUGUUGUAAGAGAAGAACGAGUGUGAGAGUGGAAAGUUCACACUGUGACGGUAUCUUACCAGAAAGGGACGGCUAACUACGUG
RNAcentral lists this ribosomal RNA (495 nucleotides) under uncultured bacterium. Its description in RNAcentral is "partial 16S ribosomal RNA". It matches the Rfam family "Bacterial small subunit ribosomal RNA", at positions 28 to 507 of the family's 1533-position model. The record is from RNAcentral.